CUUAAUGAAUUGACGGGGCCCGCACAAGCGGUGGAGUAUGUGGUUUAAUUCGAUGCAACGCGAAGAACCUUACCUGGUCUUGACAUCCCGGAGACCCUUAGGAAACUAGGGGGUGCUUCCAUCUGGAAGAAUCUGGAGACAGGUGCUGCAUGGCUGUCGUCAGCUCGUGUCGUGAGAUGUUGGGUUAAGUCCCGCAACGAGCGCAACCCUUGCCUUUAGUUGCCAGCAGUUCGGCUGGGCACUCUAAAGGGACUGCCGGUGUUAAACCGGAGGAAGGUGGGGAUGACGUCAAGUCCUCAUGGCCUUUAUGACCAGGGCUACACACGUACUACAAUGGCCGAUACAAAGGGCAGCGACACUGCGAGGUGAAGCCAAUCCCGUAAAAUCGGUCUCAGUCCGGAUUGGAGUCUGCAACUCGACUCCAUGAAGUUGGAAUCGCUAGUAAUCGUGGAUCAGCAUGCCACGGUGAAUACGUUCCCGGGCCUU
This 486-nucleotide ribosomal RNA is filed under the name uncultured Desulfobulbus sp. RNAcentral describes it as "bacterial SSU rRNA". It matches the Rfam family "Bacterial small subunit ribosomal RNA", at positions 904 to 1382 of the family's 1533-position model. The record is from RNAcentral. Lineage: Bacteria; Pseudomonadati; Thermodesulfobacteriota; Desulfobulbia; Desulfobulbales; Desulfobulbaceae.